Molecule: ribosomal RNA, 434 nt
Filed under: uncultured bacterium
Lineage: Bacteria
Description: partial 16S ribosomal RNA
Rfam family: Bacterial small subunit ribosomal RNA
Source: RNAcentral
GAACGAACGCUGGCGGCAGGCCUACCCCAUGCAAGUCGAGCGGACCCUUCGGGGUUAGCGGCGGACGGGUGAGUAACGCGUGGGAACGUGCCCUUUGCUUCGGAAUAGCCCUGGGAAACUGGGAGUAAUACCGGAUACGCCCUUUUGGGGAAAGAUUUAUCGGCGAAGGAUCGGCCCGCGUUGGAUUAGGUAGUUGGUGGGGUAAUGGCCUACCAAGCCGACGAUCCAUAGCUGGUUUGAGAGGAUGAUCAGCCACACUGGGACUGAGACACGGCCCAGACUCCUACGGGAGGCAGCAGUGGGGAAUCUUAGACAAUGGGGGAAACCCUGAUCUAGCCAUGCCGCGUGAGCGAUGAAGGCCUUAGGGUUGUAAAGCUCUUUCACCGGGGAAGAUAAUGACGGUACCCGGAGAAGAAGCCCCGGCUAACUCCGUG